CAGAGAAUAGUUUAAAGUAUAAAAUGCUGGUUUUGGGGACCAGAGAUGGGUAUCCUUCUUUGA
This 63-nucleotide transfer RNA is filed under the name Laticauda semifasciata (broad-banded blue sea krait). RNAcentral describes it as "tRNA-Pro". The record is from RNAcentral. Lineage: Eukaryota; Metazoa; Chordata; Lepidosauria; Squamata; Elapidae.